AGCGAACGCUGGCGGCAGGCUUAACACAUGCAAGUCGAACGGUCCUUCGGGAUAGUGGCGGACGGGUGAGUAACACGUGGGAACGUACCCUUAGGUUCGGAACAACACAGGGAAACUUGUGCUAAUACCGGAUAAGCCCUUCGGGGGAAAGAUUUAUCGCCUUUGGAGCGGCCCGCGUCUGAUUAGCUUGUUGGUGAGGUAAUGGCUCACCAAGGCUACGACCAGUAGCUGGUCUGAGAGGAUGGCCAGCCACACUGGGACUGAGACACGGCCCAGACUCCUACGGGAGGCAGCAGUGGGGAAUCUUGCGCAAUGGGCGAAAGCCUGACGCAGCCAUGCCGCGUGGAUGAUGGAGGUCUUAGGAUUGUAAAAUCCUUUCACCGGGGACGAUAAUGACGGUACCCGGAGAAGAAGCCCCGGCUAACUUCGUGCCAGCAGCCGCAGUAA
This 447-nucleotide ribosomal RNA is filed under the name uncultured bacterium. Its description in RNAcentral is "partial 16S ribosomal RNA". It matches the Rfam family "Bacterial small subunit ribosomal RNA", at positions 29 to 523 of the family's 1533-position model. The record is from RNAcentral.